UCAUUGGUAGGUGAAAAUCUAAAAUAUUUGGUUGGGAAAGUAAUUAAAUGUAAGGGGUCUGUUCUUGAGUCAUAUGUGUCUUGUUUAACUACUUAAUUCUUUAAAAAUCUCGUUUAUAACAUGUAGAAUUUGAGUUAUGAGCUUUUGAGUAUAUGGUUUGAUUGAUGUACCUUAUUCUUGGUCAAAUAAGAAAAUUGAUAUUCAAUUUUAGUCUUAAGCAUCCUUUUUCUAAUCAGUUCUAGUGUCAAGGAUAUCAAUUCAGUCAUUUGGAUAAGUUUGGGGUUCAACCAAAUUAGAAAAAUCAAAGUUGAAAAAUCAAAUUAUCUUGAAAAAAUCGAUUAUUAAGUAAGAUAAUCAAUUAUCUCAGAAAAAUUUCGUUGGACGCCCUG
This 389-nucleotide long non-coding RNA is filed under the name Vigna radiata. RNAcentral describes it as "long non-coding RNA (VRAD_LNC004278)". Lineage: Eukaryota; Viridiplantae; Streptophyta; Magnoliopsida; Fabales; Fabaceae. The record is from RNAcentral.